UGCAUUCACUACUGUAAGUCGCUCUGGAUAAGAGCGUCUGCUAAAUGGCAAAAU
This is a non-coding RNA of Salmo salar (Atlantic salmon), 54 nucleotides long. Lineage: Eukaryota; Metazoa; Chordata; Actinopteri; Salmoniformes; Salmonidae. The record is from Rfam.